GGGUGUUGCAGUGCGGCGGGAGAAGCUGCGCGGGGUGAUUCCCUCAGCUGAUGGCCGGGGAGUUGCAAAAAUGGACAUUAAAUGAAGCUACUCGUUGCGAUAGGUUGGGAUCACAAACAUCCCGUUACCUCAUCUCAGCUAAAGGCGUCUGUGGAAAUGCUCUGUCACUGUAAUAACGAGUGAACUCUGUGGCUUCGUUGGCUGAAGCAGUGCCUAAAGGUUUAAAACUUUCAGCCUUAUAUUUAAGUGUAUUUCUGAAGGGUUCUUCACCAGUGGUAGAAGGGCAAUGUGAGCAGCCAUGAAUAGCACAUAAAUAGAAAGCACAGGAGCUGUACCAGGACAGCAACGUUAAAACCGCCUUCAGCAGGAGGGCUUCGCAAGAACCAGCAGAGAGGAGCAUAAGCAAUGUUGGUAACUCCAAUGAUGACCAUCAGCCAGGGAAACCCAAUAGCUCGUACGAUCGCGCCGCCUGUUGAUGGACCUGCACAUUGAAACAUGAACAAAGGCUCAGGAGGCAGGAAAAGAGCAAAAGGUGCUCUUCUACUUUGGAGGGGGUCUGAAGUCUGCAGUGGCUGUCCUACAGACUCAGUUCCAGUUGCUGCCAUUAAACACUGGGUGGAAGAACACAUUGAGAACAUCACCCCAUACCAAUUGCAAAGCCCAUGCAGAAGGCAACAUCUGCGAUGGCAUAGACAUUGCCGUAGACAGAGGUGUGGCGAAGGUCCACGAGGUAACCCAUAAUAGGCAUCAUGGAGGAGUCCACCAUUCCUGCCCAGAGCAAGCACGAUAUCAUGAGGUAUUGCCUUUUCCCAGAGCAGUGCUGGGAAUUGUACAGACUGACCACUUACCUAUGGCGAAGCCAAGCCCACCAUUUGGGCCAAUCAGCCCAUAAAUAUUUUUUGCCAGAGGUACCUUAGAGAGGAAAGAGAGAAGGUGUGAAUGAGGCCAGAAGAGCUCCAAGGUGAGGAGGCACAGCAUAGUUCUGUGAGAAAGGUCUGUGGUGCCAUCCCUGAGCAGGUCUCAGAGCUGCCCUGCAGUACUCACACAGAGCAGACUGAUCCCCACCACAGCCAUACCGAUCAGGGAGCACAGCCACCUGCAAGGAGGGCAGCAGAGGGUGAUGCCUUCAGCAUAUGCAAGCAGGAUCCUUGCUGUGGUCGCUGCUGUUCGCUUACCGGCCUAUUUUGUUAGCCAGGAGCCCGAAGAGAUUGGUUCCAAUGAGUGAAAAGCACAUUGUAUAGCUACCAACAAGGACAUUUCCUGCUGAAACCGGAGCAGCACACAGCCUGGCAUCACUCUGUGGGAAUAUGUUUUCUUCCUUUUAAGAUGAUAUAAGAGAUAUUCAGCCCAUCCCGCAGUGCCCAGCAGGAUCCACUCUGGCCAAACUGCAUCAAGCUACUGCUGAGGAGCACGGACUGCAAAGUGAAGCACCUACCAAGCUGCCAUUUGGGGGAGCACAUGGUUUGCAUCAUCCAGAUGGGCAAGGUGGGCUCGAGCAUGGCCACCCCCAUGUUGGAGAAGCAGAGGGCUCCUGGUGAGGAGAGAAGGGAAAGUGUCUGUUUAAGGCUUCUCCUACUGCUGUGUUGAGUAGGAACAAGGAAAUGGGGCAAUUGGGAACGCAGAGGUUACCUGCAGCCACCAGCACAUAGGGGUCCCGCAGCAGGGUGAGCACUGGUGUGCCUCUGGUGCUCUGCUUGAGAUGGGGGCUUAGGGAGCUGCAGGUGGGGGCUGAGCCACCCCCACCUGCAGCAUCUGCCCCAGCAUCGUGCCCAUACUCACCUCAGGGGAGACCUUGGAGGGCUGCAGAAUGCACAGCUGCAAACCUGGGGAGGGGGGGGGAACAGUGCUGUCAGUAUUGCUCCAAGCCAAAUUUCCCUGUGGCUUUUCCUUCAGGGGGGCACCAAUCAUUGGCAGAGCCCCAAGAAUGCAAAGCUGUGCUGUUGGGGCAUCAUCCAGGGAGCUGUCAGCUGCGGGAUUUCAAAUGGGGCAUGGCCAAAAUGAGACAUGGAAAAGAAUGGGAUGAAAAAAAACAAGCUUCAAACACAG
This 2046-nucleotide long non-coding RNA is filed under the name Gallus gallus (chicken). RNAcentral's name for it is "long non-coding RNA NONGGAT005026". The record is from RNAcentral. Lineage: Eukaryota; Metazoa; Chordata; Aves; Galliformes; Phasianidae.